AACGGCUCACCAAGGCGACGAUGGGUAUCCGACCUGAGAGGGUGAUCGGGCACAUUGGGACUGAGAUACGGCCCAUACUCCUACUGGAGGCAGCAGUAGGGAAUUUUGCGCAAUGGACGAAAGUCUGACGCAGCGACGCCGCGUGAGGGAUGACGGCCUACGGGUUGUAAACCUCUGUUGAGUGGGACGAAAACUCGCAGGGUUAAUACCCCUGCGACCUGACGGUACCACUCGAGGAAGCUCCGGCUAACUACGUGCCAUCAGCCGCGGUAAUACGUAUGGAGCAAGCGUUGAACGGAAUCACUGGGCGUAAAGGGAGUGUAGGCGGGAAAGUAAGUCAGGAGUGAAAUACACAGGCUUAACCUGUGGCCCGCUCUUAAUACUGCUUUUCUUGAGUAUGGGAGAGGAAGAUGGAAUUCCAGGUGUAGCGGUGGAAUGCGUAGAUAUCUGGAAGAACACCAGUAGCGAAGGCGGUCUUCUGGCUCGAGACUGACGCUGAGGCUCGAAAGCUAGGGGAGCAAACAGGAUUAGAUACCCUGGUAGUCCUAGCCGUAAACGAUGGACAAUAGUUGUCGGGGGAGUCAAUCCCUGCGGUGACGAAGCUAACGCAUGAAGUGUCCCGCAUGGGGAGUACGCUCGCAAGGGUGAAAGUCAAAGGAAUUGACGGGGGCCCGCACAAGCGGUGGAGCAUGUGCUUUAAGUCGAUGUAACGCGAAGAACCUUACCUGGGUUUGACAUGGGGGUGAAAGUAACCAGAGAUGGAUACCGUUUCAUUCGGGACACCCCACACAG
This 792-nucleotide ribosomal RNA is filed under the name uncultured organism. Its description in RNAcentral is "bacterial SSU rRNA". It matches the Rfam family "Bacterial small subunit ribosomal RNA", at positions 259 to 1037 of the family's 1533-position model. The record is from RNAcentral.